CCUAGGGGUGGCAGCAGUGGGGAAUAUUGGGCAAUGGACGCAAGUCUGACCCAGCAACGCCGCGUGAAGGAAGAAGGCUUUCGGGUUGUAAACUUCUUUUAAGGGGGACGAGCAGAAGCCGGUACCCCUUGAAUAAGCCACGGCUAACUACGAGACAGCCGCCGCGGUAAUACGUAGGUGGCACGCGUUGUCUGGAUUUACUGGGUGUAAAGGGCGUGCAGCCGGAGAGACAAGUCAGAUGUGAAAUCCACGGGCUCAACCCGUGAAAAGCAUUUGAAAUUGUUUCCCUUGAGUGUCGGAGCAGUAAUCGGAAUGCCUGGUGUAGCGGGGAAAUGCGUAGAUAUAAGGAAGAACACCGGUGGCGAAGGCGGAUUACUGGACGAUUACUGACGGUGAGGCGCGAAAGCGUGGGGAUCAAACAGGAUUAGAUACCCUUGUAGUC
Molecule: ribosomal RNA, 442 nt
Filed under: uncultured bacterium
Lineage: Bacteria
Description: partial 16S ribosomal RNA
Rfam family: Bacterial small subunit ribosomal RNA
Source: RNAcentral